UGAGGAAGAUGACGAGAAAAAUGCUGUGCACCAGUCUGAGAGAGCCAAACGUACUCAGGUUCUAAUGAAAGACCAAGUAUACCCAAAUUUCUGAUUCCUCA
RNAcentral lists this small nucleolar RNA (101 nucleotides) under Zygosaccharomyces rouxii. The record is from RNAcentral. Lineage: Eukaryota; Fungi; Ascomycota; Saccharomycetes; Saccharomycetales; Saccharomycetaceae.